AUUGAACGCUGGCGGCAUGCCUUACACAUGCAAGUCGAACGGCAGCACGGGUGCUUGCACCUGGUGGCGAGUGGCGAACGGGUGAGUAAUACAUCGGAACAUGUCCUGUAGUGGGGGAUAGCCCGGCGAAAGCCGGAUUAAUACCGCAGACGAUCUACGGAUGAAAGCGGGGGACCUUCGGGCCUCGCGCUAUAGGGUUGGCCGAUGGCUGAUUAGCUAGUUGGUGGGGUAACGGCCUACCAAGGCGACGAUCAGUAGCUGGUCUGAGAGGACGACCAGCCACACUGGGACUGAGACACGGCCCAGACUCCUACGGGAGGCAGCAGUGGGGAAUUUUGGACAAUGGGCGAAAGCCUGAUCCAGCAAUGCCGCGUGUGUGAAGAAGGCCUUCGGGUUGUAAAGCACUUUUGUCCGGAAAGAAAUCCUUGGCCCUAAUACGGUCGGGGGAUGACGGUACCGGAAGAAUAAGCACCGGCUAACUACGUG
RNAcentral lists this ribosomal RNA (486 nucleotides) under uncultured bacterium. Its description in RNAcentral is "partial 16S ribosomal RNA". It matches the Rfam family "Bacterial small subunit ribosomal RNA", at positions 30 to 507 of the family's 1533-position model. The record is from RNAcentral.